GAUGAACGCUGGCGGCGUGCUUAACACAUGCAAGUCGAACGAAGCACUUUAUUUGAUUUCCUUCGGGACUGAUUAUUUUGUGACUGAGUGGCGGACGGUUGAGUAACGCGUGGGUAACCUGCCUUGUACAGGGGGAUAACAGUCGGAAACGGCUGCUAAUCCCGCAUAAGCGCACAGCAUCGCAUGAUGCAGUGUGAAAAACUCCGGUGGUAUAAGAUGGACCCGCGUUGGAUUAGCUAGUUGGUGAGGUAACGGCCCACCAAGGGGACGAUCCAUAGCCGACCUGAGAGGGUGACCGGCCACAUUGGGACUGAGACACGGCCCAAAAUCCUACGGGAGGCAGCAGUGGGGAAUAUUGCACAAUGGGCGAAAGCCUGAUGCAGCGACGCCGCGUGAGCGAAGAAGUAUUUCGGUAUGUAAAGCUCUAUCAGCAGGGAAGAUAAUGACGGUACCUGACGAAGAAGCACCGGCUAAAUACGUG
RNAcentral lists this ribosomal RNA (481 nucleotides) under uncultured bacterium. RNAcentral's name for it is "partial 16S ribosomal RNA". It matches the Rfam family "Bacterial small subunit ribosomal RNA", at positions 28 to 507 of the family's 1533-position model. The record is from RNAcentral.